RNAcentral lists this ribosomal RNA (584 nucleotides) under Hyledius kesiyae. RNAcentral describes it as "partial large subunit ribosomal RNA". It matches the Rfam family "Eukaryotic large subunit ribosomal RNA", at positions 544 to 854 of the family's 3401-position model. The record is from RNAcentral. Lineage: Eukaryota; Metazoa; Arthropoda; Insecta; Coleoptera; Curculionidae.
UUCGUGAUUUCCGCGCCUUCAGUUUGUCGAACUUGCAACGAACGCGUGCACUUUUCUUUUGGUAGGACGUCGCGAUCCGUUGAGUGUCGGUCUAAGACUUGCGGUGGAGCCCGUUCGUCGUUUCGACGAUGAACGGACCCGUUCGUUCCGGCCGACUCGCUCGACGGUAUAAUUACGGUUAAAGGCCGCUCCAAGAGCGUUCGACUCGGUGCAAGCGCGCCAGAUGUGUCGGCGACCGGACCUAGUGCCGAUCCCGACCUCCGGUGACUGUGGCAACGAAGUUCUCGAACAGACCUUUAAACCGAUCUGCGACGCUAUAGCUUUGGGUAAUUUCAGGACCCGUCUUGAAACACGGACCAAGGAGUCUAGCAUGUGCGCGAGUCAUUGGGAAUUACUAAACCUAAAGGCGCAAUGAAAGUAAAGGUUUUCCUUGCGAAGACCGAGGGAAGACGGGCGGUUCGCCUUUAACAGUGGCCGCCUCGCACUCCCGGGGCGUCUCGUUCUCAUUGCGAGAAGAGGCGCACCAUGAGCGUACACGCUGGGACCCGAAAGAUGGUGAACUAUGCCUGGUCAGGACGAAGUCA